This is a transfer RNA of Firmicutes bacterium CAG:102, 73 nucleotides long. It matches the Rfam family "tRNA". From Rfam's summary of the family: Transfer RNA (tRNA) molecules are approximately 80 nucleotides in length. Their secondary structure includes four short double-helical elements and three loops (D, anti-codon, and T loops). Further hydrogen bonds mediate the characteristic L-shaped molecular structure. tRNAs have two regions of fundamental functional importance: the anti-codon, which is responsible for specific mRNA codon recognition, and the 3' end, to which the tRNAs corresponding amino acid is attached (by aminoacyl-tRNA synthetases). tRNAs cope with the degeneracy of the genetic code in two manners: having more than one tRNA (with a specific anti-codon) for a particular amino acid; and 'wobble' base-pairing, i.e. permitting non-standard base-pairing at the 3rd anti-codon position. NCBI's taxonomy places the organism in Bacteria, Bacillati, Bacillota. The record is from Rfam.
GCUGCUAUGGCUCAGUAGGUAGAGCGUCGCCUUGGUAAGGCGGAGGUCACGGGUUCGAAUCCCGUUAGCAGCU